UACGGAGAGGGCAAGCGUUGUUCGGAUUUAUUGGGCGUAAAGCGAGCGUAGGCGGUAUGGUAAGUCGGAUGUUAAAGACCCACGGCUCACCCGGGGGAAUGCGUCCGAUACUGCCUUACUGGAGUGAGGGAGAGGGAAGUGGAAUUCCUGGUGUAGCGGUGAAAUGCGUAGAUAUCAGGAGGAACAUCUGUGGCGAAGGCGGCUUCCUGGCCCUUAACUGACGCUGAGGCUCGAAAGCGUGGGGAGCGAACGGGAUUAGAUACCCCGGUAGUCCACGCCGUAAACGUUGGAUACUAGGUGUUGGAGGUAUUCUACCCCUUCAGUGCCGCAGCUAACGCAUUAAGUAUCCCGCCUGGGGAGUACGACCGCAAGGUUGAA
RNAcentral lists this ribosomal RNA (378 nucleotides) under uncultured bacterium. RNAcentral describes it as "bacterial SSU rRNA". It matches the Rfam family "Bacterial small subunit ribosomal RNA", at positions 524 to 898 of the family's 1533-position model. The record is from RNAcentral.